AGUGAACGCUGGCGGUAGGCCUAACACAUGCCAGUCGAACGGCAGCACAGUAAGAGCUUGCUCUUACGGGUGGCGAGUGGCGGACGGGUGAGGAAUACAUCGGAAUCUACUUUUUCGUGGGGGAUAACGUAGGGAAACUUACGCUAAUACCGCAUACGACCUACGGGUGAAAGCAGGGGAUCUUCGGAACUUGCGCGAUUGAAUGAGCCGAUGUCGGAUUAGCUAGUUGGCGGGGUAAAGGCCCACCAAGGCGACGAUCCGUAGCUGGUCUGAGAGGAUGAUCAGCCACACUGGAACUGAGACACGGUCCAGACUCCUACGGGAGGCAGCAGUGGGGAAUAUUGGGCAAUGGGCGCAAGCCUGAUCCAGCCAUACCGCGUGGGUGAAGAAGGCCUUCGGGUUGUAAAGCCCUUUUGUUGGGAAAGAAAAGCAGCAGGUUAAUACCCCGCUGUUCUGACGGUACCCAAAGAAUAAGCACCGGCUAACUUCGUG
RNAcentral lists this ribosomal RNA (492 nucleotides) under uncultured bacterium. RNAcentral's name for it is "partial 16S ribosomal RNA". It matches the Rfam family "Bacterial small subunit ribosomal RNA", at positions 29 to 507 of the family's 1533-position model. The record is from RNAcentral.